GGAUGAGCCCGCGGCCUAUCAGCUAGUUGGUGAGGUAACGGCCCACCAAGGCUAAGACGGGUAGCUGGUCUGAGAGGAUGGUCAGCCACACUGGGACUGAGACACGGCCCAGAGUCCUACGGGAUGCAGCAGUCAGGAAUAUUGCGCAAUGGAGGAAACUCUGACGCAGCGACGCCGCGUGGGUGAUGAAGGCCUUCGGGUCGUAAAGCCCUGUCGGAGGGGAAGAAAAGCUUGCUGGCUAAUAUCCAGCAGGCCUUUGACGGUACCCUCAAAGGAAGCACCGGCUAACUACGUGCCAGCAGCCGCGGCCG
RNAcentral lists this ribosomal RNA (311 nucleotides) under uncultured actinomycete. RNAcentral's name for it is "bacterial SSU rRNA". It matches the Rfam family "Bacterial small subunit ribosomal RNA", at positions 223 to 523 of the family's 1533-position model. The record is from RNAcentral. Lineage: Bacteria; Bacillati; Actinomycetota; Actinomycetes; Actinomycetales.